AUUGAACGCUGGCGGCAUGCCUUACACAUGCAAGUCGAACGGCAGCACGGGUGCUUGCACCUGGUGGCGAGUGGCGAACGGGUGAGUAAUAUAUCGGAACGUACCUUAUUGUGGGGGAUAACGCAGCGAAAGCUGUGCUAAUACCGCAUAAUCCCUAAGGGGGAAAGCGGGGGACCGUAAGGCCUCGCGCAAUUAGAGCGGCCGAUACCUGAUUAGCUAGUUGGUGAGGUAAAGGCUCACCAAGGCAACGAUCAGUAGCUGGUCUGAGAGGACGAUCAGCCACACUGGGACUGAGACACGGCCCAGACUCCUACGGGAGGCAGCAGUGGGGAAUUUUGGACAAUGGGGGCAACCCUGAUCCAGCAAUGCCGCGUGAGUGAAGAAGGCCUCGGUUGUAAAGCUCUUCGUCAGGAAGAAACAGCAGCUCUAACACAGUCUGCGAAUGACGGUACCUGAAGAAUAAG
Molecule: ribosomal RNA, 464 nt
Filed under: uncultured bacterium
Lineage: Bacteria
Description: bacterial SSU rRNA
Rfam family: Bacterial small subunit ribosomal RNA
Source: RNAcentral